RNAcentral lists this ribosomal RNA (253 nucleotides) under uncultured bacterium. RNAcentral's name for it is "partial 16S ribosomal RNA". It matches the Rfam family "Bacterial small subunit ribosomal RNA", at positions 524 to 776 of the family's 1533-position model. The record is from RNAcentral.
CACGUAGGGCGCAAGCGUUGUCCGGAAUUAUUGGGCGUAAAGAGCUCGUAGGCGGUCUGUCGCGUCUGCUGUGAAAACUCGGGGCUUAACCCCGGGCCUGCAGUGGGUACGGGCAGACUAGAGUGCGGUAGGGGAGACUGGAAUUCCUGGUGUAGCGGUGAAAUGCGCAGAUAUCAGGAGGAACACCGGUGGCGAAGGCGGGUCUCUGGGCCGUAACUGACGCUGAGGAGCGAAAGCAUGGGGAGCGAACAGG